CGGAGUUGCCUUUUUGCUUUCUUUUAUUUUUUUUGUUUUUCUGGAUCAUUCACUUAUUUGCAUCGGUCCCCUGCGUAGAGGAUGCGUAGGCCGGAGCUGACUGCUGAGAUAAACUACUAAGGACUUAUACAGAAAUGAUGAUUAAGGCCAUGGUAUAUGGGGUUUCGGGAAUGAUUCCUAUAUUUACGAAGCUUAUGGUGCUAAAACAGAUACUGAUGUUUCGCAAAGUUCUC
RNAcentral lists this long non-coding RNA (233 nucleotides) under Lathyrus oleraceus (garden pea). RNAcentral's name for it is "Pisum sativum (pea) long non-coding RNA (PSAT_LNC014744)". Lineage: Eukaryota; Viridiplantae; Streptophyta; Magnoliopsida; Fabales; Fabaceae. The record is from RNAcentral.